This 511-nucleotide ribosomal RNA is filed under the name Cerithium caeruleum. Its description in RNAcentral is "partial 16S ribosomal RNA". It matches the Rfam family "Bacterial large subunit ribosomal RNA", at positions 1817 to 2600 of the family's 2925-position model. The record is from RNAcentral. Lineage: Eukaryota; Metazoa; Mollusca; Gastropoda; Cerithiidae.
GGCUCCCUGCACACCACAUAUAGGGAGUCGGACCUGCCCGGUGAAAGACUUUAACGGCCGCGGUACUCUGACCGUGCAAAGGUAGCAUAAUCACUUGCCUUAUAAUUGAAGGCUGGUAUGAAUGGUUUGACGAGAGUGCUCCUGUCUCCUCCUUGUUUUAUAGAAGUUAACCUUCAGGUGAAGAGGCCUGUUUUAGAUUGAAGGACGAGAAGACCCUGUCGAGCUUUAAGAGAAUGAAGGAGAGCUCUAUGCUAUCAAAUAAAAAACCUUCCCGAUCUUUUGGUUGGGGCGACUAGGGAACAAGCAAAGCUUCCCUUACUUUAAAAACUCAUUUGUUAGGAUCCAGCACCAAAAUGCUGAUUAAAAGAAUUAGUUACCGCAGGGAUAACAGCAUAAUCCUUCUUGAGAGACCUAAUCGAAAGAAGGGGUUGUGACCUCGAUGUUGGACUAGGGUAUCCCGAGGGUGCAGAAGCCUUCAAAGGUCGGUCUGUUCGACCGUUAAAACCCUACG